UACGUAGGGUGCAAGCGUUGUUCGGAAUUACUGGGCGUAAAGCGCGCGUAGGCGGGCUUGUAUGUCGGUUGUGAAAGCCCCGGGCUUAACCUGGGAAUGGCAGCCGAAACUGCAAGUCUUGAGUGCCUAAGAGGAUGGCGGAAUUCCCGGUGUAGAAGUGAAAUUCGUAGAGAUCGGGAAGAACACCUGAGGCGAAGGCGGCUAUCUGGUGGUGCACUGACGCUGAAGUGCGAAAGCGUGGGGAGCAAACAGG
RNAcentral lists this unclassified non-coding RNA (253 nucleotides) under uncultured Oligoflexaceae bacterium. RNAcentral's name for it is "contains 16S-23S intergenic spacer region". It matches the Rfam family "Bacterial small subunit ribosomal RNA", at positions 524 to 776 of the family's 1533-position model. The record is from RNAcentral. Lineage: Bacteria; Pseudomonadati; Bdellovibrionota; Oligoflexia; Oligoflexales; Oligoflexaceae.